GGCCUUUUCGGCCAGGAUGGGGUAAGAGUGGGUGGAGAGUUUUGCUAGACUAUGAGGGAUUUGCUGGGGGUUCUGCAUGGCUUUGAGUUGACCCUAUGAACCUAUCUGUUGCCUGGAAUUUUUACUCAUCUGGUCCAUUUUUUCUGUGGAGCCGACUCAAACCAAACCAGAAACAAAAAGACAGUCUCACACCGAGGAAAAGACUGGGAGAAAAGAGACGUCUCUUUACGCCAGGAAGCCCCGAGUUUCUUCUUGGACGCGUAACUGGAAACUAGGAAGUGUCGCUUUCGCUUUGGUAUAAAAUGUGCCAAACGCACUUCGAUAGUAGAAAAAUGGCCACGAUCUAAGCACCUUUUCUGAGUGGCGUUGGACCAUUUGUGCUACCCUAACGGAGCUCAGCCGCAGUACUCCCAAGCGACUUAGGCUGUCUUCGCGGUUUCCGUAGGAUGCUUCUUUACUCGCGACGUUGUUGAAGCUUUACCGCUUAGGCACCUUGGAACACGCAUAUGCAUAAAAAUUUAGCUGAGUACAGUCAUUUGUGCAGGCCGAAAAACAUACCACCAUAGCUUGGUAUGCCAAAAAUAUAAGAUAAAUGGGCAAGCAACGUUCGAAUUGGAUGGAUUUUCAAAUAAGAGCCAUUGCACAUUUUCUAUUACUACUUCUCUGAGCUGCACUUUUUUCCGUACGGCCUAUAACUUUGAGGUUUAGGGACGUAAACUACCUGAAGGGAUUUCAAAGUUGUAAUUAGCAACCAGUCUUCUGUCAGUUAAAUUCAGGAUCUGGCCCUAGUUGUGAAUUUAACACUCUUUAGGGCACUCGCCCUUCACAAUUCAACAGCUCACCUGGAAAAAUAACCUCAUUUUCAUAGGAUGAAUUCUAGGUUUUCUCUUAUUUUACAGGCCGCCUCACCCAACCACCACCACCAGAAUGUGGAAGCAGUAAUCUUUAGCCUUUGUGGUGCGCUAAGUCCCAGACGUUUAGUAGGUGCUCAGUAAAUAUUUGUUGAACUGAUGAGCUAUAUUAAAAGAAAAAACAUCCUUGAUGGGUCAAUACAACUCUACUAUUCUGCAUGUAUUUGGAGGGCAGGGGUAUCCCUUAGGGUUAACAGCCCUUAUUCAUUUUUUCAAAAUACACCAAAAUCUGACUGGAGUGUUUUGCAGCCUAGGACAGUAUCUUAAGCCUUUCUCUGCAGUUCUGCAAAUGAAUUGAAAAUAAAGUACCCUUUCUGAGGCAGUAUAACUGUGUUUUUAAAUAACCUGAGGUAGUAACAAUGAAGGAGACACAUUGGAACAAAUCUUUGAAUAAAUGAAAGAGCCUUCUAGACUUUUCCUGAACUAGGUCCAUUCGAUAUAUGCUACUUGAUUUAACACAACCUCUGAAAUUGGAGUUUCUUGACUAAAUCAUGUUUUAUUCACAUUCAAUGACCUAUAACUUAAAAUUAGUUUACUAAUUUAUUAAAUGUAAAAUAUUUCAGUAUUCCAUUUGUAUGCAUUUAUCUUAAGGUCAUUUGUUUAUAUUUCUUCUUGGGAUAAUUUUCGAUUUUGUUAACUGAGCUCGUGAUUUUUCCUCUAUGCUCUUUUCGACAUUAUUUGUAUUUUCAACAGGAAACAAAAGUUCUGUUAAAAAGAAUGGAGAUGUAAUGGUGGAAUUUUAGUUGCAAAAGUAAAAUAGGACUAGAACAAAUAUAAUGAUAUCCAAAAAGUGGUGAAAUAAUACAUUCUGGAGAGAAAAGAGGCAAUAACCCUUGCUCUCCAGAUUUUGGGGGGGUGUUAAAAUUUCAUUGCUUAUUUUGAACUGAAAAUUAAGCCUCAGAGAAGGAGUCACCAUUGAUACUGACAUGCCCUAAUAUUGGUUUUUCUCAAAAUGUGAUAUAUCUAUCUCACAAGAAUAACCUGGGUUGCUUAUUUUAAAAGUAAAUCAGUACACACACUUACUCUCGCUCGCAUUUACUGAAGCAGAAUCUGUAAAGGUAGGCAUACACAUUCAAGUCUGAGAGCCACUGAUUUAUCGAGUACCUAUAGUAUUCCAUAUAUUGUGGGACUACAAAGUGGAACAUCUUCACUGCUUCUCUCUUGGAACUCAAAAUCUAGCAAAGAUAAGGUGUAACUCCCAUAACAAAGGGAACAAAAAGAUAACUUCCUAGGAUCGAGUGCCAAUGGUGAAAGAGAGAAGGCCUAGCUUUUAAAAAAUUAGUGAGAUUUCACCACUUCUUCAUUCAUUCAUUCAAAAGAUAUACAUGAAGUAUGUGCAGUGUACAGAUACUGAGCCAGGUGCUUGGGAUGGAGUAGUGCGAAAGGCUAACACUGACAGUGCUUUCAAGGAGGGUGUCACUUAGGGAGACAAAACACAUAACUAGACAUAAUACAAAGUCCGAUAGUAAUAAAGCGAAAGAACAAAAGAGGGAGGCUAACUCUAGAGAGGGUGCAUCAUAAGGAAAAGUUCUUGUGAGGGGGACGACCUAAAAGAUAAGGAGAAAAUAGGACAAAUAUUCCAGGUGGAAAGAUUGACCUGUGCAAAAUCCCUGGAGCAGAAAAGAUCUUGCGUUUCUCAAACAGAAUAGUAGUGAGCGUUGUCAAUGAAUUUUGACUAAGAACUGUAGGGUAAACAAGAGCUUUAUUUGGGGGUCAUUUUAGGAAUUGCAAGUCCGGGAGACACAGAUUUGGGUAGAAAUCCCAAUGCAUUCUGAUAGGAAAAGAAAGGGAUAGGUUUAUAAAGACAGGAAAUGUUGGAGGGAGGAGUGGGGGCUUCCAAGAGGAUUACAUAAAUUUUUUUGAAAGCUGUGAUUUUUUACUGGCAAGCUGACUUACACUAUGCUACACAUAAUUGCUAGGUGAAAAAUUUAUUUUUAAUAGAGUUCGGUGAUGCAGAGCUAGUUCUAAGAACUAUAAGAGGAUGUAGCCAUUCGGUUUAGCCCAAUUCAAAAGUUCAGUUUCACAUGGAGGGGACUGCAUUGGUUGAGCUUCCUGAAAGGCCUCCUGGCUUCAUUUUAAAUUGCUCUCAAUAAUACCAAUUCCAUUUUGCUGAUUUUCUUUCACAUUUUCCCCUUUGUUCAAGAUAUUUCCUUAGAAAGCAUCGAUGAUCAACCAUUAGGAGGUAUCAUUGGUCUGUCAUGAAAAGCUACAUUGAUGCCUCAUCACCAGGAAGGCUCAUUCUGGGUGUGCCCUCCAGCCCUCUUUGUUUCAUGAAUCUUCUCUUAAGCAGUGCAGGGGAGUACUGUAAUUCAGUGAAGAAACAGUAUCUGUUAAAGUAUUUGCUUCCAUUUAGAAAGAACCUAUCUAGUGAAUUCCAACCACCCAUGAUAGAUAUGCCUAAAAAUGGCUUGACCCUUUGUAAAACAAUUAUUUUCAAAAUUCAUUUUGUUAUUUUGAGAUCUGGCUAGUUAGGUUAAAAGUUAUCACCACCAUUUUUUAAAAUUCAGUUUUAGAAAGGAUUGUCAAAUCAUAGACCAAACCGUUUUUCUAGUGUUUGUGCCAUUAUUUAUUUUUAUGUCCGUAACAAAUAAGAAGAAGAAGAAGAAGAAGCUUACUCUUGUACUGUAACUAGGUUAAUAUCAGCUAACACAAACCCAUUCAGUAGCUUGGCCUAGACAUGUUCAUUUUCUAUCACACAUUCCAAGGAGAUAGUUCUGGCAAUGGCACAUGAGAUGAUCCUUUGCCCUGACCACAGGAUGCUCACUGUUUGAAAACAAAUUCAUUAAAAUUCUUAAACAUCGUUCAGGAGCAAGAGCCAUACAAACGUUUAUCAUUAAUGGUCAUUUACAAUUUAUUCAUAGGGAUCCAGCUGGCAACCAUCUGGUGCAUAAAACCAAAAAUUAAAGGGAAAAAAAAAUAAAAGUUGCUAUAAAAAUAUAA
Long non-coding RNA from Pteropus alecto (black flying fox), 3851 nucleotides. RefSeq lists it as uncharacterized. NCBI's taxonomy places the organism in Eukaryota, Metazoa, Chordata, Mammalia, Chiroptera, Pteropodidae. The record is from RefSeq and is a predicted model, not a curated record. The transcript is spliced from 2 exons.